RNAcentral lists this ribosomal RNA (207 nucleotides) under uncultured bacterium. Its description in RNAcentral is "partial 16S ribosomal RNA". It matches the Rfam family "Bacterial small subunit ribosomal RNA", at positions 568 to 774 of the family's 1533-position model. The record is from RNAcentral.
CGUGUAGGCGGGAGAGCAAGUCAGAAGUGAAAUCUACGGGCUUAACCCAUAAACUGCUUUUGAAACUGUUCUUCUUGAGUAUCGGAGAGGCAGGCGGAAUUCCUAGUGUAGCGGUGAAAUGCGUAGAUAUUAGGAGGAACACCAGUGGCGAAGGCGGCCUGCUGGACGACAACUGACGCUGAGGCGCGAAAGCGUGGGGAGCAAACA